Molecule: ribosomal RNA, 462 nt
Filed under: uncultured bacterium
Lineage: Bacteria
Description: partial 16S ribosomal RNA
Rfam family: Bacterial small subunit ribosomal RNA
Source: RNAcentral
UGGGGAAUCUUCCGCAAUGGACGAAAGUCUGACGGAGCAACGCCGCGUGUAUGACGAAGGCCUUCGGGUUGUAAAGUACUGUCUUUGGGGACGAACGGUAUCUAUGUAAAUAAUGCAGAUACAUGACGGUACCCAAGGAGGAAGCCCCGGCUAACUACGUGCAGCAGCCGCGGUAAUACGUAGGGGGCGAGCGUUGUCCGGAAUCAUUGGGCGUAAAGGGCGCGUAGGCGGUCAUUAAGUCUGGUGUGAAAGGCAGGGGCUCAACCCCUGGAAGGCACCGGAANUGGUUAUCUUGAGGACAGGAGAGGAAAGCGGAAUUCCACGUGUAGCGGUGAAAUGCGUAGAUAUGUGGAGGAACACCAGUGGCGAAGGCGGCUUUCUGGACUGUAACUGACGCUGAGGCGCGAAAGCGUGGGGAGCAAACAGGAUUAGAUACCCUGGUAGUCCACGCCGUAAACGAUG